Molecule: ribosomal RNA, 492 nt
Filed under: uncultured bacterium
Lineage: Bacteria
Description: partial 16S ribosomal RNA
Rfam family: Bacterial small subunit ribosomal RNA
Source: RNAcentral
AGUGAACGCUGGCGGCAGGCCUAACACAUGCAAGUCGAACGGCAGCACAGUAAUAGCUUGCUCUUACGGGUGGCGAGUGGCGGACGGGUGAGGAAUAUAUCGGAAUCUACUUUUUCGUGGGGGAUAACGUAGGGAAACUUACGCCAAUACCGCAUACGACCUACGGGUGAAAGCAGGGGAUCUUCGGACCUUGCGCGAUUGAAUGAGCCGAUGUCGGAUUAGCUAGUUGGCGGGGUAAAGGCCCACCAAGGCGACGAUCCGUAGCUGGUCUGAGAGGAUGAUCAGCCACACUGGAACUGAGACACGGUCCAGACUCCUACGGGAGGCAGCAGUGGGGAAUAUUGGACAAUGGGCGCAAGCCUGAUCCAGCCAUACCGCGUGGGUGAAGAAGGCCUUCGGGUUGUAAAGCCCUUUUGUUGGGGAAGAAAAGCAGCAGGUUAAUACCCCGCUGUUCUGACGGUACCCAAAGAAUAAGCACCGGCUAACUUCGUG